This 486-nucleotide ribosomal RNA is filed under the name uncultured bacterium. RNAcentral describes it as "partial 16S ribosomal RNA". It matches the Rfam family "Bacterial small subunit ribosomal RNA", at positions 30 to 507 of the family's 1533-position model. The record is from RNAcentral.
AUUGAACGCUGGCGGCAUGCCUUACACAUGCAAGUCGAACGGCAGCACGGGUGCUUGCACCUGGUGGCGAGUGGCGAACGGGUGAGUAAUACAUCGGAACAUGUCCUGUAGUGGGGGAUAGCCCGGCGAAAGCCGGAUUAAUACCGCAUACGAUCUACGGAUGACAGCGGGGGACCUUCGGGCCUCGCGCUAUAGGGUUGGCCGAUGGCUGAUUAGCUCGUUGGUGGGGUAAAGGCCUACCAAGGCGACGAUCAGUAGCUGGUCUGAGAGGACGACCAGCCACACUGGGACUGAGACACGGCCCAGACUCCUACGGGAGGCAGCAGUGGGGAAUGUUGGACAAUGGGCGAAAGCCUGAUCCAGCAAUGCCGCGUGUGUGAAGAAGGCCUUCGGGUUGUAAAGCACUUUUGUCCGGAAAGAAAUCCUUGGCCCUAAUACGGUCGGGGGAUGACGGUACCGGAAGAAUAAGCACCGGCUAACUACGUG